AACAACCCUUCAAUUGGAUCACCCAUUUAUCAAUUGCCGUACCCAGAAACUACGACCCUAGAAAAAAUCAUCUCUCUCUGUACUCGAAAUCUUCAUUUCUCACACAAUCUCAAACCUAUCUCGGUAAUCUUUAACAAUGACUGCACCAAUUUCAGUACCAGCAAUGCACCGGUAAUCAAUUGCUUCUCUUCGAGAUUCCGGUUUUUUUCAUCUGAAAAUGACGCCCCAAGGAAAUAGCAGAGUCGAACCAAGAUUCAAAGCCUGAAUCCGAAUCUAGCGUCAACAGGCCUGAAGAGAAGAAACAAGUCGCCGCCGAGGUCCAAGGUGUAACCAAUGAAGAUUUAAAAGUGCAGAUAGAGGACACUUCAAGAAUGCCAAUGAGGAUGCACUCCCAUUAAUCCUUGAGAGUAUUCUAAAGAGGAGGAUAUCCGGUAAGCAUGAUGACACAGAUGAUGAGUUGAUGGAAGAGCUUCAAAUGCAGCCGAUACAUAAUGACAUAAUGUUACAGACCUAUAUUUUGAGGAGGGCCAUGAAACGAAUGAAGAGAUUGAUGAUUUGUACAAUGCAAGGGAUAUUGUGGUGAAGAAAAUGGUGAGUGAUCCAUACUUUAACAUGGAUGACAAGAAGUGGGAUGACAUGAUUGCAGAGGCUGUCGAACAUGGGCGUCUGAAGGAUACUAGGGAGUGUGAGGCAAUACUAGAGGACAUGCUUAACUGGGACAAACUUCUACCGGACGAGAUCGAAAAGAAAGUGGAAAAGAAGUUCGAUGAGAUAGCAAAUAGGAUUGGAAAAGGUGAACUUGAAGUUGAAGAAGACUGCAUUGUUCAAAGAGUUUGAAGACCAAAUGGUAUUGCAAUGUGCUAAGCUGAUGGAGGCAGAGGCUCCUAAACAGUUUGAUGAGAGUCAGAGACUGCUGUGCCCGAUAAGAAAAAUGAUCUUGAUGACCCACCAGGUGAGGGCCCAAUUAUUAGGUGGCAAACACGCGCGGUCUUUGCUCCUGGUGGUGAUGCAUGGCACCUAAAAAAUAGAAAAGUAAAAUUGGCUGUUACUGUCAAAGAGCUUGGUUUGUCAAAGCAUCAAUUCUGCCGGCAUAAAAGAAUUAGCAGGAAGGCGAUACAAUCCAGGAAAAGAUGAACUUACCAUAACUAGUGAGAGGUUUAAACAUCGAGGCGAGAACAGAAAGGAUUGCCUCCGGAUUCUAUUUGCUUUGAUUGAGGAGGCAGGUAAAGUUAGGAAAUUGGUGGAGGAAACUGGAACUUCAAACAUCAAAGAGAGACUUAAAGCUAAUCCGAAUUUCAUGCAGAGGUUUCAAGUCAAGAUGGCGAAAACGAGAGAAUCUACUUUAUUACCUGCAUGAGAGAACUUGACUGCUGGGAUCUUCAGACAAUGAUUUGAAUGAUACAUUUCUUUAAGUAGUUUCCUUGUCUAUGUAGAAAUUAGUUUGCACGGGUAGUUAUAGAUCCCCAGUCCGAGGCGCUGAGUUAACAUCUAAUCCUCUCUCAUGUCUGGAAGAGACAUAAACACUAGUCCAUCCUGAAUUACAGAGGCAAGUUACUUUGGUUAUAGGAUUUGUCUCUAAUACUUUAGCUUUUGCUAUAAAGAUUACCCGAAGUGGUUGAAAACAAGCAAGCUGAACAGAGGAAGAAAUUUGCUUAGGUUGCUACCAUUGUUACCUCUCCGUACUCUUCUUCUCAUUUAUCUCAAGUAACUCCUCAAGUAGGAAUCUAACCGAGAUGAUGAGUAGAAUUGGUAGCAAGGGGGUGGCUUUUACAACAUGGAGUUUCAAUAUGAGUAAAGUAACGAUUUUCAAGUAGUGGGUCAUUCCAUGCAUAAUGAUCCAGUUGGGCAUAUGUUGAUGCACCAACUUAUACGGGAGAGUUGUAAUAGAAAUCUUAGAACAGGAUUUAAAAUCUUCACUCUAGCACGUCCUAGUCUAGUUAGGUUUUUUUCUUCUAGUAAAACGAUUUUAUAAUCUUUCCUUUUUCUUUUCCUUCUAUAUAUAGGAUUGCAGUCCUAUAAAUAUGAUUGAUAAUGUAAUAAAUCAUUCAGCGUAAAUUCUAAGUUUGUUUGAUAACAAAA
Molecule: long non-coding RNA, 2079 nt
Organism: Olea europaea var. sylvestris
Lineage: Eukaryota; Viridiplantae; Streptophyta; Magnoliopsida; Lamiales; Oleaceae
Exons: 4
Source: RefSeq, a predicted model, not a curated record